CUGGUCCGCAUAGCCUUAUGUCCUGGGCUACACACGCGCUACAAUGGUCGGUACAAUAGGCAGCCAAGCCGUAAGGCGGAGCUAAUCCUAAAAACCGAUCUCAGUUCGGAUUGUGGGCUGCAACUCGCCCACAUGAAGCCGGAAUCGCUAGUAAUCGUGGAUCAGCAUGCCACGGUGAAUACGUUCCCGGGCCUU
RNAcentral lists this ribosomal RNA (195 nucleotides) under uncultured candidate division WS6 bacterium. RNAcentral's name for it is "partial 16S ribosomal RNA". It matches the Rfam family "Bacterial small subunit ribosomal RNA", at positions 1186 to 1382 of the family's 1533-position model. The record is from RNAcentral.